RNAcentral lists this ribosomal RNA (253 nucleotides) under uncultured bacterium. RNAcentral's name for it is "partial 16S ribosomal RNA". It matches the Rfam family "Bacterial small subunit ribosomal RNA", at positions 524 to 776 of the family's 1533-position model. The record is from RNAcentral.
UACGAGGGGUCCUAGCGUUGUUCGGAAUUAUUGGGCGUAAAGAGUAUGUAGGCGGCCAGAUCAGUCAGGUGUGAAAUCCCCGGGCUCAACCCGGGAAGUGCAUCUGAUACUGUCUGGCUUGAGUAUGGAAGAGGGUAGUGGAAUUCCUGGUGUAGUGGUGAAAUACGUAGAUAUCAGGAGGAACACCGGUGGCGAAGGCGGCUACCUGGUCCUAUACUGACGCUGAGAUACGAAAGCGUGGGGAGCAAACAGG